RNAcentral lists this ribosomal RNA (589 nucleotides) under Epiactis thompsoni. Its description in RNAcentral is "eukaryotic LSU rRNA". The record is from RNAcentral. Lineage: Eukaryota; Metazoa; Cnidaria; Anthozoa; Actiniaria; Actiniidae.
ACUUGCGGAAGGAUCAUUACCGCCUGACGAGUGCCCUGGCACGCACCGCGAACCCGUGGACCGAGGUCGGGGGUCGYUCCGUCGAGAGCGUUUCCAGGACGAGAGCCGCCGCCUCGGUGGACUCUCGCCGCCCCCGCGUUCCAUCACCAAUAACACCUGUACUGCAGAACUUAAACCRAAACCUAAAAACGAACACAACUCUUAACGGUGGAUCUCUUGGCUCGCGCAUCGAUGAAGAACGCAKCCAGCUGCGAUAAGUAKUGUGAAUUGCAKAAUUCAKUGAAUCAUCGAAUCUUUGAACGCAAAUGGMGCUCCCUCUUCUGGGAGCACGUCUGUAUGAGCGUCGGUUUACGAGACACUCGCGCCCCCCAUCGCAAGGGCGCGGACUCGGAGGACGUCGCGGCCUCCAACACUCUGGCCUCGUCCCUCCAGGUGCAGCGCGACCCGUCCCCGCGGGAAGGCCAACACUUUGCCCUCUCCCCCAASGACGGGCAGCUCCAUAACCAAACCACGACCUCAGAUCAGGCGAGACUACCCGCCGAAUUUAAGCAUAUCAAUAAGCGGAGGAAAAGAAACUAACAAGGAUUCC